This is a long non-coding RNA of Sitodiplosis mosellana (orange wheat blossom midge), 758 nucleotides long. RefSeq lists it as uncharacterized. Lineage: Eukaryota; Metazoa; Arthropoda; Insecta; Diptera; Cecidomyiidae. The transcript has 2 exons. The record is from RefSeq and is a predicted model, not a curated record.
UAAUAAACGAUGCAGCUGUCGCAUGUUCGAGAGUGAACACAAGACAUGUGUGUGAUGCAUAUACAUUUUAAAAGCAGCUGCUUCAUUUCCCCUCAUACAUACAUUGAAUGUUCAAUUCACUCAUCGAACGAGCAAUGAGCAUGUGGUAAACUCAGUCGUCGUUUCGCUUCCGACGCUAAAACAACAUUCAUAGUUCAGCAGCGAUGGCUCUUUUGCUCAAAUCGAUUUUAUUUCUCCAAAGUUGUAGUUGUUCCAGAAAAUUUACACAUAUUUUUCUCAACUCAAACAAUGUUCCAAAAUCAAUAGCAAGGGAAUAAAAGUUGGGGAAAAAAAAUUUGGUCCCAUACGGAUUCGAACUUUGGUUGAAAAAAUACAUCGGAACAGAGCAAAAAAGGGCGCAAAUGCAUAUAAGGUACUAUAAGGCACUAUGCAUUUUGAUGGUUGGGGGUUACCCUUUCCCCCCAGCAGAUGCUGAUUGAAUCACCGGGCAAAGUCAUUGAAUCAACAUCUGGUUGGCACUGAGUCCCGGUCAGACUUAAGGUCACUUUGAGCUCAACGGCUAACCCGCCGCCGUUAUCUGUACAUUGAUGGUAAUGAUUGCCAACGCUCUACCAUCUAAUCUAAGCUGUGCUGACCGAUGAUAAAAGUGCGCUUGGUAUGCAACAUAUGUUUUGACAGGUUUUCGAGCAUUUGCACGGUUUAAAUCAGUUGCAUUUGCGUAUUGACACCAAAUAAAAUGAUGUUUGCAUCGAAUCAUA